This 449-nucleotide ribosomal RNA is filed under the name uncultured bacterium. Its description in RNAcentral is "bacterial SSU rRNA". It matches the Rfam family "Bacterial small subunit ribosomal RNA", at positions 329 to 795 of the family's 1533-position model. The record is from RNAcentral.
CGCCAGACUCCUACGGGAGGCAGCAGUGGGGAAUAUUGCAUAAUGGGGGAAACCCUGAUGCAGCGACGCCGCGUGAGCGAUGAAGUAUUUCGGUAUGUAAAGCUCUCUCAGCAGGGAAGAAGAUGACGGUACCUGACUAAGAAGCCCCGGCUAACUACGUGCCAGCAGCCGCGGUAAUACGUAGGGGGCAAGCGUUAUCCGGAUUUACUGGGUGUAAAGGGAGCGUAGACGGCGAUGCAAGCCAGAUGUGAAAGCCCGGGGCUCAACCCCGGGACUGCAUUUGGAACUGUGUGGCUGGAGUGUCGGAGAGGCAGGCGGAAUUCCUAGUGUAGCGGUGAAAUGCGUAGAUAUUAGGAGGAACACCAGUGGCGAAGGCGGCUUACUGGACUGUAACUGACGUUGAGGCUCGAAAGCGUGGGGAGCAAACAGGAUUAGAUACCCUCGUAGUU